RNAcentral lists this ribosomal RNA (496 nucleotides) under uncultured bacterium. Its description in RNAcentral is "partial 16S ribosomal RNA". It matches the Rfam family "Bacterial small subunit ribosomal RNA", at positions 29 to 507 of the family's 1533-position model. The record is from RNAcentral.
AUGAACGCUGGCGGCGUGCCUAAUACAUGCAAGUCGAGCGAACGGACGAGAAGCUUGCUUCUCUGAUGUUAGCGGCGGACGGGUGAGUAACACGUGGAUAACCUACCUAUAAGACUGGGAUAACUUCGGGAAACCGUAGCUAAUACCGGAUAAUAUUUUGAACCGCAUGGUUCAAAAGUGAAAGACGGUCUUGCUGUCACUUAUAGAUGGAUCCGCGCUGCAUUAGCUAGUUGGUAAGGUAACGGCUUACCAAGGCAACGAUGCAUAGCCGACCUGAGAGGGUGAUCGGCCACACUGGAACUGAGACACGGUCCAGACUCCUACGGGAGGCAGCAGUAGGGAAUCUUCCGCAAUGGGCGAAAGCCUGACGGAGCAACGCCGCGUGAGUGAUGAAGGUCUUCGGAUCGUAAAACUCUGUUAUUAGGGAAGAGCAUAUGUGUAAGUAACUGUGCACAUCUUGACGGUACCUAAUCAGAAAGCCACGGCUAACUACGUG